RNAcentral lists this ribosomal RNA (484 nucleotides) under uncultured bacterium. Its description in RNAcentral is "bacterial SSU rRNA". It matches the Rfam family "Bacterial small subunit ribosomal RNA", at positions 28 to 507 of the family's 1533-position model. The record is from RNAcentral.
GAUGAACGCUAGCGGCAGGCCUAACACAUGCAAGUCGAGGGGUAGAAUUAGCUUGCUAAUUGAGACCGGCGCACGGGUGCGUAACGCGUAUGCAAUCUACCUUGGUACAGGGGGAUAGCCCAGAGAAAUUUGGAUUAAUACCCCAUGGUAUAAUUAAUUGCAUGAAUUGAUUAUUAAAGUUCCAACGGUACAAGAUGAGCAUGCGUCCCAUUAGCUAGUUGGUGUGGUAACGGCAUACCAAGGCGACGAUGGGUAGGGGUCCUGAGAGGGAGAUCCCCCACACUGGUACUGAGACACGGACCAGACUCCUACGGGAGGCAGCAGUGAGGAAUUUUGGACAAUGGGCGAAAGCCUGAUCCAGCCAUGCCGCGUGAGUGAAGAAGGCCUUCGGGUUGUAAAGCUCUUUCAGGUGGAAAGAAAACGCAUAGGUUAAUACCUUGUGCGGAUGACGGUACCAUCAGAAGAAGCACCGGCUAACUACGUG